Molecule: non-coding RNA, 84 nt
Organism: Stachybotrys chartarum IBT 40288
Lineage: Eukaryota; Fungi; Ascomycota; Sordariomycetes; Hypocreales; Stachybotryaceae
Source: Rfam
UCCUGAUGAUUCCUAGAUGACGAGUCUUAUCCGAUUUAUCGAUGCAGACAAACACUCUUUUUACCAUUCAUGCAAUACCUGAAC